RNAcentral lists this ribosomal RNA (117 nucleotides) under Synergistota bacterium. The record is from RNAcentral. Lineage: Bacteria; Thermotogati; Synergistota.
UUUGGUGGCUAUAGCGGAGGGGAAACACCCGGUUCCAUUCCGAACCCGGAAGUUAAGCCCUCCAGCGCCGAUGGUACUGCUCGGGAGACCGGGCGGGAGAGUAGGUCGCUGCCAAGG